Molecule: ribosomal RNA, 121 nt
Filed under: Saimiri boliviensis boliviensis (Bolivian squirrel monkey)
Lineage: Eukaryota; Metazoa; Chordata; Mammalia; Primates; Cebidae
Source: RNAcentral
GUCAAGAGACAUAUCAUACUGAACGUGCACUAUCUUGUCUGAUCUUGGAAGCAAAGCAGGGUUGGGCCCGGUUAGGAUUUGGAUGGGAGACAUCGAAUGGAAACUACAAAAUUAUUUAAAU